This 460-nucleotide ribosomal RNA is filed under the name uncultured bacterium. Its description in RNAcentral is "partial 16S ribosomal RNA". It matches the Rfam family "Bacterial small subunit ribosomal RNA", at positions 338 to 795 of the family's 1533-position model. The record is from RNAcentral.
CCUACGGGAGGCAGCAGUGAGGAAUAUUGGUCAAUGGGCGGAAGCCUGAACCAGCCAAGUAGCGUGCAGGAUGACGGCCCUACGGGUUGUAAACUGCUUUUAUACGGGAAUAACGCGCCUUACGUGUAGGGCUUUGCAUGUACCGUAUGAAUAAGGACCGGCUAAUUCCGUGCCAGCAGCCGCGGUAAUACGGAAGGUUCGGGCGUUAUCCGGAUUUAUGGGGUUUAAAGGGAGCGUAGGCGGCAUGUCAAGGGUGCGGUGAAAUGUCCGGGCUCAACCCCGGCCUUGCAGCGCGAACUGGCGUGCUUGAGUCGGCGGAAGGCAGGCGGAAUUCGUGGUGUAGCGGUGAAAUGCGUAGAUAUGACGAAGAACCCCGAUUGCGAAGGCAGCUUGCUGCAGCGGAACUGACGCUGAUGCUCGAAAGCGCGGGUAUCGAACAGGAUUAGAUACCCGGGUAGUC